UUUAUGGAGAGUUUGAUCCUGGCUCAGAGUGAACGCUGGCGGCGUGCCUAAUACAUGCAAGUCGAACGAUGAAGCUUCUAGCUUGCUAGAAGUGGAUUAGUGGCGCACGGGUGAGUAACGCAUAGGUCAUGUGCCUCUUAGUUUGGGAUAGCCAUUGGAAACGAUGAUUAAUACCAGAUACUCCCUACGGGGGAAAGAUUUAUCGCUAAGAGAUCAGCCUAUGUCCUAUCAGCUUGUUGGUAAGGUAAUGGCUUACCAAGGCUAUGACGGGUAUCCGGCCUGAGAGGGUGAACGGACACACUGGAACUGAGACACGGUCCAGACUCCUACGGGAGGCAGCAGUAGGGAAUAUUGCUCAAUGGGGGAAACCCUGAAGCAGCAACGCCGCGUGGAGGAUGAAGGUUUUAGGAUUGUAAACUCCUUUUGUUAGAGAAGAUAAUGACGGUAUCUAACGAAUAAGCACCGGCUAACUCCGUGCCAGCAGCCGCGGUAAUACGGAGGGUGCAAGCGUUACUCGGAAUCACUGGGCGUAAAGAGCGCGUAGGCGGGAUAGUCAGUCAGGUGUGAAAUCCUAUGGCUUAACCAUAGAACUGCAUUUGAAACUACUAUUCUAGAGUGUGGGAGAGGUAGGUGGAAUUCUUGGUGUAGGGGUAAAAUCCGUAGAGAUCAAGAGGAAUACUCAUUGCGAAGGCGACCUGCUGGAACAUUACUGACGCUGAUUGCGCGAAAGCGUGGGGAGCAAACAGGAUUAGAUACCCUGGUAGUCCACGCCCUAAACGAUGGAUGCUAGUUGUUGGAGGGCUUAGUCUCUCCAGUAAUGCAGCUAACGCAUUAAGCAUCCCGCCUGGGGAGUACGGUCGCAAGAUUAAAACUCAAAGGAAUAGACGGGGACCCGCACAAGCGGUGGAGCAUGUGGUUUAAUUCGAAGAUACACGAAGAACCUUACCUAGGCUUGACAUUGAGAGAAUCCGCUAGAAAUAGUGGAGUGUCUAGCUUGCUAGACCUUGAAAACAGGUGCUGCACGGCUGUCGUCAGCUCGUGUCGUGAGAUGUUGGGUUAAGUCCCGCAACGAGCGCAACCCCCUUUCUUAGUUGCUAACAGGUCAUGCUGAGAACUCUAAGGAUACUGCCUCCGUAAGGAGGAGGAAGGUGGGGACGACGUCAAGUCAUCAUGGCCCUUACGCCUAGGGCUACACACGUGCUACAAUGGGGUGCACAAAGAGAAGCAAUACUGCGAAGUGGAGCCAAUCUUCAAAACGCCUCUCAGUUCGGAUUGUAGGCUGCAACUCGCCUGCAUGAAGCUGGAAUCGCUAGUAAUCGCAAAUCAGCCAUGUUGCGGUGAAUACGUUCCCGGGUCUUGUACUCACCGCCCGUCACACCAUGGGAGUUGUGUUUGCCUUAAGUCAGGAUGCUAAACCAGCUACUGCCCACGGCACACACAGCGACUGGGGUGAAGUCGUAACAAGGUAACCGUAGGUGAACCUGCGGUUGGAUCACCUCCUUU
RNAcentral lists this ribosomal RNA (1503 nucleotides) under Helicobacter pylori. Its description in RNAcentral is "bacterial SSU rRNA". It matches the Rfam family "Bacterial small subunit ribosomal RNA". Lineage: Bacteria; Pseudomonadati; Campylobacterota; Epsilonproteobacteria; Campylobacterales; Helicobacteraceae. The record is from RNAcentral.